UGUCAUUAUUACUCCUGUCUCUGCUAUCUCUCAUUCAUUUCCAUGGGAUAAAGUAUCAUUACUGAUUGAAUAUGAAUCAAAUAUUCUUAACAUAACUCCUCCUCCUCAUUCUCCUUCUUCCUUCACUCAUAUUGUAUUACACUGUGUAUUGGACAGUAAUACCUCAUCAGUUGAUGAAACUGUUUCUACUGGAGUAUCUUAUACUCUGAUUGGUUCUGAGACCAUAGCUCAAUGUCCUGAAAUUUUAACAUCACUAGAAACAAAAUAUAAUUUUCAAAUAAUAGUCAGGGACUAUCAUUCCCUUAAUGUCGA
Amphimedon queenslandica is the source of this 312-nucleotide long non-coding RNA. RefSeq lists it as uncharacterized. Lineage: Eukaryota; Metazoa; Porifera; Demospongiae; Haplosclerida; Niphatidae. The transcript is spliced from 3 exons. The record is from RefSeq and is a predicted model, not a curated record.